Molecule: long non-coding RNA, 5793 nt
Filed under: Gallus gallus (chicken)
Lineage: Eukaryota; Metazoa; Chordata; Aves; Galliformes; Phasianidae
Source: RNAcentral
GGGUUUUCGCUGGAUUUAUGUCGCUUUGCAGGAGAGAAUCCGGUUCCCCCUGCGCUGUCUUUAAUGGGUUGUUAGUUGCAAUUGAGUGAAGGAGCAGCGUCCGGAGGUAGCUGCGUUGUUUGGCUUUUAACGUUGCUGAAUGCACCCCUUCCCCCGCCUCCCCCUGCACGAUUAUUUACUUUAAUACCACGAGGCUGGUGGGGUUUUUUUUUCUUUAGCAAAAACUAGUUGUAGCCUCGUCCCCGGGCGAGUUUCCGGGGCUGCGCGAAUCCCGAGGCUUAGAGAUACCGAGGGACCUCAGCACCCCCAAAUCACAACACUUUCUCAUCCUCCCCGAGUAGAGUUUAUUUUAAAAUGUAGUGACGGAUCAGCGCUGUAUUUUAAGCUCCCCCACGGCAGGCGAACACAUGGUGCCGGGAAGAGAUCGUACGCAAGGAACUAACACGAGAGGGAGAAAGAGAGAGAGGGAGAGAGGAAAAAUGAAAUCCGAAAUAAAUCUUUGAGAGCGGAGCGCUGCUGUCACCGCUCCGGAGCGUUCGCGUGGGUUUCUCUUCGCGGCUAACCCCGGAGGGCACGGCAUGGAGCGAGGCGACGGGCGUUCAGUGGGGCUUUUAGAUUCUCCUUUAAGUUUGAGUUCCACUCUGCUGCAGUACUGCUGAGAGACUUAGCUGGGCUGCCUCGAAGCUCGCUUGGUUCCCUUUUCAGCUGUAUCGUUGGGUGCAAACUAGUGGCAUGCGUACAACACAUAGUGCAAAGGGAGUCAGACAGACGGCUGUCUCCCCUGCAUGUUUCCCCUGCACUGAUUCUCUGCUGAACUUAUGUAGCAUUUUGCUUCAGUUUUUUCUUCUUACAUUUACACCCUAACGAAAGUGAGAAGAGAAACCAAGUGGAGCCUGCCGGUUUCCUUCGUUAGACCGUCAGUGCCUGACCUGUAGAAAAGGAAUAGCUGGCGUCCAAAGUGAACUGCCUUCGCCUGUCACAUUGAUUUUAUUGACAACUGGGGACUGCUGGUGCUUGUUCCCUUGCCAGCAGUUUUUAAUACAUGACCAACAAUUGCUAGUGGUCACUUCCAGCUGAACUUCUUUUGCGUGGUGGGAGAGAAUGCCUUUGGACAUGUUCCUUGCAUCUUUGAUCAUAUUUUUGGUUGAAUGUAUCCAUGUACGUCUGCUGUUCUUAGAGGCCUUGAGAUAUCCCAUGGUAAUAAAGGGCAGAGCUUUGCAUGAUGAUAGCAAAACCAAAUAUUUUGUUCUCAGUGGGCAGCAGAAAGUUCCUUUAGUCAUGACCUUAUAUCUGCUAAACACUAUAAUCACCUUGGGAGAUAUCACUUCAGGAAGCAUAUCCAUUAAUCUUUUACACUUGGUUUGAUUUCACCCUUAAAAGUGCAUGGAUCACACUGAAAAGGCUUCUGUCCAUUUAUUUAUUUAUUUUGUGGAACAAAAAUCGCUGGAGAAGCAGUGAUGCACUUUUCUUUACACCCCAUACGGUGGGGUGAUGUAUAUUUCUCUUUCCAUAGUGUGACUUGAAAGAUCAGUGGGCUCGUUUGGCAGAGGUUGUGUGUAAUGACUAAUGUUUUUAAAGUCAUGUAAAUAGGGGUGUUUGUGUAUAUAUAAGCUAUGUCAGCUGAAGUGAUACAAGGACAUAUUUUUAAAACAUUUCAGUUAAUAUAGUAAAUCAAGGAGACAGGGCUUUGAAACAUUUCUACAUGAUGUCAGAACCUGCGAGAGAGGUACUGCUGUAUGAGGUGUUCGGUAGCUCAGAUACGGCGUAUUUGUCGAGUAGCAGCGAAACACACAGGUGCACAUUCCAAGUUUUUGAUUUAGCUGAUUCCUAUUUGUCUUCUUUCUUCCUUUCUUUCCUUGCUUCUUUCUUUCUUUCUUUCUUUUUUCCCCUCAGUGUCUUUUUGUGUAUUUUUUUUUUACUAGACGCUGUUUUCUAUUUUUGUCCCCUUAGGUAGAAGAGCAGGGAUAGAAACUUUAGGAGACUUAUUCCUAAAACAUAGAAACUGGAUUUCCUUUUAUUUUAAAUGGGCUAUUUGGAAAUCUUCAGAUACGCAGUUGAUAUAUUAUUGCAGAUCAUGAUACCGUAUUGUAAAAACAAUUGUAAACAACCAUAUUGUAAACAAAAUUCAGAUAAAUCUUGCCAUUAGGAAGGUGGCUUACAAAGCUGGUCUGAUGUCUGUAUGAAACACGCAUAUGUUUACUUAAAUGUAGAUCUGUGCAGAAGGGAGAGAUCUGAUAGAUACGUUUACCGUGAAGCAGCUGAUUUCUGCCGUGAUAAAACUGGGUGAUUACACAUUCGCAAAGCCUUUGCAGCACAGAAGUAGGUGUUCUUUUAAAACAUUAUUCUGUGGCAACAAACAAAUAUUUGUGACAUCAUUGUGAGAGGUUUCCUGCCAAUUUUGAGUUUACUGUCUUUCAGAAAGUCUGGAGUUCUUUGGCACUGGUGAAACUGCUGCACAUACCCAUCGUAUAUUCAAGUAUUCAGUGAAGUUUUAAAUAAUUCUCUUUCAAUUAGUACAACAGGAACCUGAGAAAAUGGAUUUUCUCUUAAAGAAACAAGAAUCUGUACAUAGCCAUUUCUUUCCUCCUCUUGUAUAUUUUAACAUCCUCAUAUCAGUUUUAUGUUUACUGUUUUGUCUCCUUAAAUUAAGAAGAAAGAAAACAGUAGCAAGAGUUUAAAAAUCAUUGCUUGGAAAUGAUUUUAAUCAAAUAUUUCUUGAGCUCUGUGAAUUGGCAAGAGUAAUAUAAAAUUAGAUGUAUUGGUAAACUAGGCUAAUCAGAGUCAUUCAUUUAUAGUGGAGAAUAAAUAUCUAUCAAUUGAUGCUUUUUUGAAGUCAGGCAAAACAUUCCAUCAAGUUAAUGUGUUUCAGGGUAUCAUAUCAGGCACAGGCAGGUACUAGAAGUGAUGAAAAACAGAUAACCUGCAACAAAAUGAUUUACAGAUGGGUCAUUAUCUUCUAUAGAGAGGUUACACAGAUCAUAUUCUUUAUAAAAUGAGAUUGUAUUUCUAUAGAGCUAGGAGAAUUCUCUAAAUAGAUUGGAGUAUUUAAUGUUUUCUAUGUGACGGGCAGAAUUUGUCAAAGUCAAAAACUCUUAGCUUUCUUAUAGGCAACAUAUUGAUGUAAGAUACCAAACGUACUACUUUUGUAUUUAAAAUAUUCUUUCUGUUUAUUUCAGUUGUUUGAUAAAGUAAAGCUUGGGAUACAUUUUGCUUCUUUCUAGGUGAACUUCAUAGUGUUUACCUUUAAAAUAUGCACGAAAAAGCUACAUACAAAUUAAAAAAGAAACAAAAAAUAUCAAAAAAACGAUGGCAAAUUUAACAUUGAGAAUUUUUAAAAUAUUUUUUUAAUUUCAGGAUCUAUUUCAUACACUGAGUGCCCAAGUUACAUCUUUUCUAUUGGUGUAAGACAGGGUGUCACUUAAAUAUUUUCGUCUUUCUUCUUGAGCUAGACAGAAAGGUGUAGUCAGUCGUUUCUCCGGUCUCUGGUAGUCUGAUACAAGGCAACAGGAAAAUCUAAAACCUCAGAGGUGAAGUAUUGAUUUGAUUCCUAACUGCAAAUCCUUCAUAUCAUUGCUCAAAAUAUCUAACUUUACACCAAUAUUAUCCAUUCUUUUUAUAGUGACACCGUGCUUAGUAAAAAACUUCUAAGCACUGAGGUCAGGUGUUGAGAUUGGAUUCUAGUUUAUUUUUUAUGAAUCAGAUAAAGAUUUCUGUGCAUGAGACCGUAUGUGAAGAUGAGAGAACAAGAACAUUUCCAUAUCAAAGGCAAUAUAUCUGAGGCUGCAUAGUAAUUAAAAUGCAGUGGUUUGGACUGUGUGCACUAGCACUUACGCAGAGCGUUGUUGGGACCUUGUGCAGCAUGCAGGCGGUUGUCUCUUGCAUACUUCUAGAAAUAUACUUAUAAUUUUGUACAAACAUUUAUGCCAGUCCACACUUUUCUGUGGAUAAUUUGUAUUUCAUCCAAACCAUUCAAAGUAGAAGUUAUUUUUUGAGCAACCCCCUCAUUAUGGCUUUUGUGCAUCAACUAUUUUUAUUCUGGUUGUUUGUAUUUCCUCUUACCAGAAUGAUGGCUUGUUUAUAGUAGGGCUUUUUUUUUGUGUUUGUGUGUGUGUUUUUCUCUAAGACCCCUUCCAUAUACCACUGAAAUUUUACUACUUGCUUGAAAUAUCUUAUUGGAAACCAAAAAUGAUAGUAUUUUUGAGAGGUAUUAAAGAUAGCAUGAUUUCUUACAUACCAUGCUUUCUGGCAGAUUAGAAGCAUGUUCAGGAAAUAAUCUUUUUAAUGAUAAAAUGCAUUUACUUAUUUCAACUAACUGUUACACAACAGAAGGAGAAUUAAUACAUUACUCCAAAGACCUACUCAUGAGGAGGGAGAUGAGAAUCAGCAAAACACAUUUCAGGGUGCUCCCUAUCUGGAUCUUUUUUUUCUGGAAUAAAUGUGACUUUAACUCCAGAGCAGAUUGCCCUGGUGAAGAGCUGUUCUGGAAGGGCUGCUGUUGAAUUGUUUACUUCGUAAACUGUAAUGGUCAGUGUCCCAGUGUGGAGGAGGCAGUGACUGCUGCAAAUUUCCUUAUUACUCAUAAAAACUUGUUCUACAGAGGCUAUCUGUUAAUGCUCCAAAUCUAUUGAGGUGAAGCUUUUGGGAAGUCUUCAUGUUUAAACAGAUGUUUGUACUGUGAAAGUUUUGCAUUUAGGUAAUCUUGAGAUCUCGCUUCAUUUUGCCUAGUUUUAGAUUACAGUUGGUGUAUGAGUAUGUGUGUAUUUUGUGCUAUAAUAUCACACUUUCAGAGGAUGUUAUGCAUGCUUUUUAAAUCUGUAUUACUGUUGUGGAUGGGCUUGUUAAACUGAAAUCCUGACCAGUUGUGGUUAGUAAAAACCCAUGGUAUUUUUGCGCAAGUAGGGGGGUUAACCUCAAUGUCAUGGCCUAAUUCCAGCUAAGAUAGGAUGUAGUUGCCCAUCUACAUUCUUCUUAUAGUUUUAACUGGCUCAGUUAAUCCUUACUUCCUCUCCUAAAUGCAGUAGAGUAGCGUGCUAAGGAUACUUGCUACAUUUUGCCUCAGAAGUACCAAAUCCAACUACUGAUGUAGUAGGUGGAAGUAGAUAAUGGAUCGUGUUUUGGUAGCUUUCUGGAUAAGAAGAGUUUCAUAUACCUGUCUGGCUAAUUAUUAUUAGAGGGAAUGUUUUGAAGGAUUUAAUAUACUGUAUUAAUCUACAAUAUACUUGAAUGUUGAGCUGCGGAGCUGUGUAAGAGAAAUAUUUUGGUCACAUGGAGCUUUUUUUCAGCUGUCAUAAACAAGUGUGACUCCAUUUACUGAAGUUGAAGAGUUCCAUUUUACUCCAAGCCAUAAUUGUGUUCCUUAGGAUGUGGUCCAAUUUCUUUAGAAUUCAAUGGAAAGACCCUUCUUUGACUAUGCUGGGAGGGCCCUGUUUGCAUUCAGUGUAGUGUAGAAAAUAACCUGCUUUGGUUUCAGUUACGGUGUAGUCAGGUUCAUCUUCAUGACGUUGCCUAUGGGUAUAGGAUGAUACUGACAGGAGUUCAUCACGUGUCAACUAUGUACUAGAUCAUAUGUUUCUCCACACAGACUUUUCUAGCAGGUUUUCUGCUUAGAGUGUGAGCCUUCAACUGCUGAAUUUCUGUAAAUGUGGAGACUGUGGUUAUGCUUUUUCUUUCGUUCUUUCAGAUACCGCGACCUGCUGAGUUAAAUCUUCCUGCAGAUCCUCCUUUUUCCUCCUCCUUUUUCCUCCUCCUUUUUCCUCCUCCUUUUUCCUCCUCCUUUUUCCUCCUCCUUUUUCC